AUCAAUAUAUCAAACUCUGCAACUUUUGCAGAUAAAAAGGUUUACCUUAUAUUCUUCUUUGUAUAAAGGCAUUGGAUAUGCAUACCCUUACAUAUGUAUCCUUAUUUCACAUGGUGCAACAAAAUAAAUUAAAUAUUUUAUAGUUAAUAUUAUUGUACAAGCCCAAUUUUUAAAAACCCGGGCCCAAUUACAAUACAAAACCCGAAUAGUCCAACAACCCAAAUUUAGCCCCUAACAGACCUAACCCAGCAAAACCAAGCCCAAAUUUACUCAUUUACACCCAAACCCGAAGCCCAAUAGUCAGGCCCAAUUUCCCUAAAAAAUAUCUAACUAGGGUUUCAUUUUCUGAAACCCUAGAUGCCGCCAGCUACCCACCCUGCCUCUGACCAGCGCCGCAAGCCACCAAUUGCUGCGCCGCACCUACUGCCGCCUGCUUCAAACGCUUGCAAAGAGGAAAGAAGGGACAAUCAUAGCAAUGGCAAUGAUGACACAAUCGGUUAUAAAAACCCAACAAUAUGUAAUUUCAAGGGGUUUUUUUUUAACAACUUCUGUAACACAAAAAAAAAACAGUUAAUAAAAGAAACAAGCAGAUUAAAAGCAAGGUUGAUUACAGUGCAUCUACUCUUCUUAUUUUCUGUUUUGCGUUCCUUGUUAUUUUAUUUUAUUUUAUUUUAUUUUAUUUUUCCUUUACAAAUCUUUAAACAAAAUAAAAGGGGAAACGGAGAAAGAAACCUUACCUGAAUCGCUCCGCCAGUGUCGUCACCGGAGUCCUCCUUUGGGUCACCAAAAUCGGGCGAGGAAGGCAACGAUUUGUUCUUUCACGACCCCGAAAGCAUGAAGACUUGGUCUUCUGUCGAUCCACGAAGCAGGGCUUUAAAAAACCUGAUGCUUGGGCUUCCGACCACCGCUCACGGCGGGAUCGAUGGUGGCCCUUUGGCCGAACCGAGACCAAAAAGGGGGUGGCUGAGUCCUUUCUUUUUCUUUUUUUGUUUCUCUGAAUUUUUUUGUUAAAGAGGCUGAAAGAAUGAAAUUUUAGAAGAAAAAAUUAUUUUAAGUGGACAGAACGAAACGACGUCAUUUUGUCUGAGUGUUUUAACGCUAAAACGGCGCCGUUUUACACAACCCGCGAUCGACCCGACCCAUUACCAGGAGGAUCCGUGUGUUUCAAUGGAAGGGCUAAUUGCACUUUUAACCCUUCCACUUUUUGAUGAUUUCGCAAUCAGUUUUUUUAUAUUUUUAAAUUUACCCCGUUAGUUUAUUUUGGAUUUUAAUUUAGCCCUCCAUGAAACUACGUCGUUUUAAAGGAGAAGGACAAAUUGCCUUUUUAGUCCCUCCAUGUCUCGCGCGUGUUCAGGAUAGUCCAUCUCCUUUAAUUUAUUUGCGAUUUGUCCCCAAAUGUUGUUUUUUGUGUUCAAUUUAGCCUUCUGUUUAUAUCUUGGUUAUUUUAUUAUUAAAACUAAUAAGUUAUUAUUAUGAUUAUUAUUAUUAUUAUUAUUAUUAUUAUUAUUAUUAUUAUUAUUAUUAUUAUUAUCUAUGUCUUGUUAAUUUCAAAUUUUACUAUAUAUAUAUAUAUAUGUGCGCAUACAUACAUAUUUAUAAUAUAUAUACGUACAUAACCUUUUUUAUUUUAUAUAGAUAUAAAUACUUAUAUGAUAUAUAUACUUUACACUUCAUAUAUAUGUACGCAUAUACAUAUAUUUCUCAAUUUAUACCUAUAUAUACAUACUUAUGUUUUUAUGCUUUAUAAUUUAUAUAUAUAUACAUAGAUAUGCAUAUUUGUUUUUUUAUAUAUGUAUAUACGUUCAUAUAAUUUAUAAUUUAUAAUUUAAAUAUAUAGAUGCACAUACAUAAAUAUUUCAUUUUUAUAAUUCGUAUUGUUAUCGUUGUUUUAUUUGAUAUUUAUUUAUUCAUUUAUUGAAGUGUUCAUUAUUUUUAUGAAAUGCUUUAGAUUUUUUAUUCAUUUAUUAUUUCAUGUAUUUUUGAUUUGUUUAUUAUGUAUUUUAUUUGUUGCUCAUUUUAGUUGUGCUUGUAUUAUUUUACUUACAUUAUCAUCAUUAUUCUAUUACACCCAUUUUUUUAUUUAGAUUUCAAAAAACAAAGAAAUUUUAAAAAUAAGUAAUAUUCGGUAUUUUAGAUCUUCGAGAGAAUCGAGCCCUAAUGCAUUGGGUUCCGAUUUUCUUUGUUGGAUCUAAAUAAUCGAGAUUACUUUUUUUAAAAUGAAUCAAAGCUCAUUAUCGAGAAUUCAAUAUGUCGUGUCCUAACGCAUUGGAUGUGACACGUUGCUUUUCUCGGGAUGAGGAUUUUCUUAAAAAUAACAAAGGCAAUAUUCAAUGUUUGGAAAGUUGAGACAUUGUGCCCUAACAUAUUGGGCUGCAAUUUUCUCAUCUGACUUGGACAAUUGAAUACCCCUUUUAAAUUUUAUCAUAUGAGUUUUUUUUUAGACAAGCAACUUUUUAUAUAAGUCUCUUAAAACAAAGGAUCGUAUUUUAAAUCUCUUUAAAAUUUUCAAUUCUCGACAUUAAGACAUUAAGUAAUCAACUAGGUACCAAUUUUGGGCGUAUCGAGGGUGCUAAUCCUUCCUCGUACGUAACCGACCCUUGAACCCAUUUUUCUAAAUUUCGUGGACCAAACUUAUUGUUUUAAUAAAAUCAAACCGUUUAUUAAAAACAACCACUUUUCGAGGUGAUCCAAUCACACCUCAUAAAAAAGGAUUGGUGGCGACUCCCGUUUUUUUCGUUUUCGUCAAAACCCAAAUCGACCCCGUUUUCAUCCAAAAAAUGGUGUCAACAGCUUGGCGACUCCGCUGGGGACUUUUUUUUUCAAAACAGUGAGUCAAGCCACGAGUUGAUUACUUUUUGACUUUUUGUCAAAAAUUGAAAAUUUGGUUUAAAUUUACGAUCCUUUCAUUGCAUUUCAUUCUUCAUUAUAAUGUUCAUCAUUGUGGUUUAUAAUUGCUCUAUUUGUUUAAAUUUUGGUAUCUUUUGCAUUGCAUUACAUGACCGUUGGUCACACCCUUUAAGUGGGAGUGAGAAGCUAGUCCUUCGUGAGGUUUUCACCUCCGUACAGGAUAGUGGAUCACUUUCGGGAUACAUCCGUACCUAUGUCUUCGUGAGAUUUUCAUCUCCGUGCAGCCAUAGGGAAAUGUAUUCCCCUGAACCGAACUCGGUCUGUAUGAGCCUAUAAUGGGUGAAGAUCGAGGAAUCUACUGGUUCAGGUACCUUAUCUCUAGAGCCAAACCGCAUAUAGAAGACCUUAGGAACCCACCCUAGGUAGAACCACUUCGAACCCCUGGUAGACACCUAAAUAGGUGCUUUAUUAUUUAUUGCUUGUAUUUGAUUUUUAUACUAACUUAUUAUGUUUUGUUUGAUUGCAUGGCAUACAUGGCAUUUCAUUAUAAAAGGCGUUGAUUCAUAUUCGGUUACUAGAUAGAAAGCUAAUCAUGGAAAGUGAAUUUCUUGAUAAAGUGGAAGAUAAUGCGGUUGUCCGAAUAUGGUCAGAAAAAACGUAACUCGAGAAAGGAGAUAGCUUGAUGGAAGGGUACACGUCAGAGUUAUCAGACUUCACUUAUAUCAAUGUAACUCAGAAUAACUUCCAGGAGUUGAAAGAAAUAUGGGCCUAGUGGGACGAUGAAGUCAAGUAAUUGUUUUACUCUAAUUAUGGUGACUUGCCUUAUUUACUUGAUAUUAAAGUGGACGAGCAUUUGUUUCGAGCUCUGGCCCAAUUUUGGAAUCCCGCUUAUAGAUGCUUUACUUUUGGAGAGAUAGAUUUGGUGCCUACCAUAGAGGAAUAUACAGCCUUACUGCGUUGCCCAAGGUUUCAGGCAGAUAAGGUCUAUUCUAAAGCCGUCAAUGUCUCGACUUUUGUGAAGAAGCUAGUGAACAUCUUGGGAAUGAGUGAGUAAUGGGUCUCAGCGCAGGUCAAACAAAAAGGGGAAAACAAGUGUAUUCCCUGGAGAAGUCUGUGUGAUUUGAUUUUAGCUCACCCUGAUACGAAGAAAAAAGUCGAUGUUUUUGCUUUGAGUAUUUAUGGGCUGAUGAUUUUCCCUAGAGCGUUGGGGUAUAUAGACGAAGCAGUUACUGAUUUGUUUGAUCGACUGGACAAGAAGGUCACACCCGUUCCAGCAAUUUUGGCCGAGACAUUUAGAUCUUUAAGUGUGUGCCGAAGCGUGGGGGAGGGAAGAUUCAUUAGAUGUGCACAGCUCUUGUUAGUAUGGUUCCACAGUCACUUCUGGAAAGUGGAUAAAGUUUCUUACCGAGUAUUCUCCAAGAAUUAUUCUCCAUUGAAAGAAUUAGCAGCCAUGCCGAGACAUGACAACAUUACCGUGAAAAGAUGGAUAGUGAUGCUUCAAAAUCUCAAAGAUGAAGAUGUUGAAUGGAAAGCUCAUUGGAUGGUGCCUGAUGAGAUCUUGUAUCGAUGUGGGAAUUUCGACUGGGUCCCUUUACUUGGGAUUUGGAGAGCUGUUGGCUAUGCGCAAUUGAUGGUACUGAAACAAUAUGGGUCAAGAUAGUUCGUACCUACCACCUAAGGACUAGCUCAGUGCGAGUUUUCGUAUAAAGAUGAUGGUUAGAAGAAGAAGAUUCAGGAGAUGACCAAUGCUUGGAGGCAAACUCAUCGGAUGAAACGAUUUACUGUGAGAGCAAUGACGACCCCCGAGUAUCAUGGAUGGCGAAGUAAGAGGAUUAAUGAUAACAUCCCCGGGCCAAGAGAAGAUUGCAUUCGAUCCAUAGAGGAGCAUUUGCAAGUAGUUCCAUCAGAAUUAGAGAUCAUCAAACAGGACUUUAAAAAACGAAGUUUGGAAUUGGAAAAGAAGAUAGAGCAGCUAGAAGAGGAAAAGAUACGUUUAGGACUAGAUGUCGAUAUCCACAAGUUGGAAGCUGAAAAGUUUAGGAAAGGGAAGAACAAGGCUGAAGAGGAUUUAGAUAGUCUAAAAACAGAUUAUAAGAGGCUGUGUUUGUCACUGAGAACUGCGGGUUUAGGUAAAACAUCAGAGCAAUGGCGACAGGAGAUCAAGGAAGAAAAGGCCAAAGUUGUUCAGUGGGAAAAGAAAUUUCAAGAUGCCCAUGCUCGAGAAAGUGCUUUGGAGGAAAAUUUGUUAGAAUGCCGAAAUGAAGAAGCAAGAUUAAAAGCCCAUAUAGCUGAGUUGGAAAGGUCGCUUCAUUUGUGCCGUAGUCGUAAUUCUAUGAUCGAGCUGAGAGCAAGUUUGAGCAAGAUUGAAGAAUUGAAAGAAAAGAUAGAAGAACUUGAAGAUGCAUUGUGAAAUUCUGAGUUACGAGUAGAACUUCUUGAAAGACGUAAUGAACAGUACCAAGAGCAGCUCCAUCAUCUUCAAAUUCAGAUUAGAGAUAGAGAUUGCGUUAUGGGCGAAGCUGCGACUCAAGUGUGGGAAGUGGCUGACCAUCUGCAAACCUUAGCGGUUCAGGCUGAUAUAAUGAGUUUGAAAUAUGAGUCAGAGUCAAGUCGGGGUCGAGAGUUAGCUUGGCUCCUUAAGAGGGUUAAGACUUUGAGCAUAAAGACAAAGCCGUAUAUGUAAUCCGCUUUAUGUAAAGAAAUUUGUUUUCUAGUCAAGUUCUUCUAAUGAAAUUGAAUUAGAAUCAAUGCCUUUCCUUUGCAUUCAUUCAUCUGCAUUGCAUUUUUAUCAUAUGCAUUAAAGUUUCAAAAUAAUAAUAAUAAUAAUAAUAAUAAAGAGCUCUAAUUAAUGACAGUUACCCUGGAAAUCAACGAAGAUCUGUCAACUAGAUAUCAUUACGGUAUUCGCCGGAAAACCAAAGAAAUGGAUCAAAGACUAGAGAAAUUAGAGAAAUUGCAAGAACAGAUGCAAGUUCAGAUGCAAGAAAAACUAGCCAAACUGCAGAAAUAUAUGGAAGCAUCCCAAAGAGAAUUAUUGAAUCAAUUAAAACAGUUAACGGCUGGGGGGCACGAUAAGGGGAAGAGCCCCGUGGUAAAUUCUGGGGAUGAUCACGAAGACCUUGCCUACCCUCCAGGUUUCACCCCAACUAAUGUCCAUACACAACCAGGGGUGUACCCACAGAGGGUACCUGUCACCAUUAGAUCCCAAUACCAAGUUGGUGCCCCAGCGUCAAUGAACUUCCCAACAGGUUCGGGUUCUAAUCCCGGGGAUAAUCCUAUUAAUCCCGUGGUUCUGGAUCUCGACGACGCAGCAGAAAUAGAGAAGACAAGAGUAGACCUACCAAAACAAUUAGAAGAUCGUUGUAAAUGGUUAGAAGAGAAGUUUCAAGCCAUGGAAAAUGUCGAUUAUCGAGGAAUGAACGCUAAAGAUUUGAGCCUGGUACUUGAUCUGGUACUCCUUCCUAAAUUUAAAAUGCCGGAGUUUGAGAAGUACAACGGGACUAGUUGCCCCGAAGCCCAUAUCACUAUGUUCUGUAGGAGAAUGACCGGAUACAUUAACAAUGACCCAUUGUUGAUUCAUUACUUCCAGGACAGUUUGAUUGGGUCAGCGGCUAGAUGGUACAACCAAUUAAGUCGGGCCAACAUUCAUUCAUGGAAAGAUUUGGCGCAAGCCUUUAUGAAGCAGUAUAGACACGUGAUGGAUAUAGCGCCCAAUCGAAUUGUAUUGCAAAACAUGGAAAAGAAGCCUAAUGAGAGUUUCCGGUAAUAUGCUCAGAGAUGGAGGGAAGUGGCUGCACAAGUUCAACCACCACUUUUAGAGAAAGAGAUAACUAUGCUUUUUAUCAAUACUCUAAAGGCUCCAUUUCUCGGCCACAUGUUAGGCAGUGCCACUAAAAGUUUUUCAGACAUAGUGAUGUCUGGAGAAAUGAUAGAGAAUGCCAUAAGAUGCGGCAAGAUAGAAGCAGGAGAAAGUACUAAAAGGUCGGCUCCAAGGAAGAAGGAGCACGAGAUAAACAAUAUAAGCAUGUUUAACAAUGACCAUUCUAAAACAAUCACGGUGGGACAAGCCAGAGCAGUAACCGCUAAUCGGUAAGGUUCUUCGAAAUAGGAAUCUAAUCUAAGGCCAAAUGUAGAGAAACUUCAAUUCACACCCAUCCCAGUGACGUAUAGGGAAUUGUACCAGAACUUAUUCGAUGCACAUGUGGUAUCUCCAUAUUACCUGAAACCAAUGCAACCCCCAUACCCUAAGUGGUAUGACGCAAAUGCCCAAUGCGAGUAUCACGCGGGGACCAAGGGACAUUCGAUUGAAAACUGCACUGCAUUCAAGAAGUUAGUUGAAAAACUUAUCAAUUUAGGGAUCGUAAAGAUUGGUGACUCAUCAGGACCAAAUGUAGCAGAGAAUCCGUUGCCCAAUCAUGACAAUAAAGGGCUGAAUGCGAUAAUUGAGUAUGGAGGAAGGAGAGUCAAAGCUAACAUAACAGAGAUAAAGACCCCCUUGAAUGGGUUUGGAAACAAAUGAUGAAAAGAGGUCUCAUCUAGUAAGGUUCAAUAGAAAGGCCUGAAUGAGCAAGGAAGUUUUGUGUGUUCCAUGCAGAAGAAAGCCAUGACAUCCAAGAAUGCACCGAGUUCAGAAUCAUAGUGCAAAACUUAAUGGAUAACAAAGAGUUGGAGUUUUAUGAAGAGAUUAAGGGAUUAGAAGAAGGAGAGGUUUAUGCUGCAGAAGAAGGAUCUACGGGGAAAGCCCAAAAGGAUAAUCACCCGGUGGUGAUUAUUGCAAAACCAAUGAGCAGAGAAUCUGGAAUACAAAUAGCACCAAAGGUCAUAAUUCAAAAAACUGUAUCCUUUCCCUACAAGGAUAGCAAACAGGUUCCUUGGAAUUACGACUGCAAUGUAACAAUCCCAGGAGAAGAGAGCUUGGUAACUACUUCAGGAGAAGAUGAAGGAUUCUAUACACGAAGUGGAAAACGUUAUGAUCCGGCAAACGCAAGAGUGGAAUCCGGAAAAGGAAAAGCCUUAGCGGUUGAAUUGGGAAAAGCAAAAGCAGACAAAAUUGAGACGCGUGUCAAUCAGCCGGUAACUGAAAAUGAGGCUAAAGAAUUUCUAAAAUUCUUAAAACAUAGCGAGUACAGCGUGGUAAAUUAAUUACAUAAGCAACCGGCUCGUAUCUCGGUGCUUGAAUUGCUUCUAACUUCAGAGGUACAUCGUAAUGCGUUGAUUAAGGUGCUAAAUGAAACUUAUGUCGCUAGCGAUAUCUCAGUGAAUAAGUUGGACCGUUUGGUUAACAAUAUCAGUGCCGACAAUUUCAUUUUCUUUAAUGAUGAUGAAAUACCGCCGGGGGGAAGAGGAGCCACCAAAGCAUUACAUAUCACUACUCGCUGCGGGGAGUAUACGUUAGCGGAAGUGCUAAUUGAUAAUGGAUCAGCCUUGAAUGUUUUACCCCUAUCUACCUUAAAUAGGUUACCGGUGGAUAGUUCCCACAUGAAAUCAUGCUAGAAUAUAGUGAGAGCAUUUGAUGGUACCGAAAGGAAGGUGAUGGGAAGAAUAGAAAUACCCCUCUUGAUUGGCCCGAAUACAUACGAAGUGGAUUUCUUAGUGAUGGACAUCAAGCCUUCGUAUAAUUACUUACUGGGGAGACCAUGGAUUCAUUCAGCAGGGGCGGUGCCUUUAUCAUUGCACCAGAAGUUGAAAUUAGUGACAGAAGGCCGGUUAAUUACGAUCGACACUGAGGAAGACAUCAUUGCAUCGGUAACCAGUGACGCACCAUAUUUGGGAACAGAUGAUGAGGCGAUCGAAUGUUCCUUUCGAUCCUUAGAAUUCGUAAAUGCGACCUCUGUUAUUGAGGGAAAGAAGAUCCCAAUGCCCAGUGUGUCUAGAGUCACGAAGAUGGGAUUACAAAUGACAAUUGGGAAAGGAGCUGUGCCUGGAAGAGGACUGGGAAUAUGCCUUCAAGGAAGAAUAGAGGCACCAGUGGUGAAGGAAAAAUAGGACCGCUUUGGUUUAGGAUUUAAACCAAAUGCUAAGCAAAGAAGGAAAGAGUUAGAGAAAAGACAAGAGAGGAGGAAUGCGCGUUUGAACGGAGAAGAAGUUGAUUGGGAACCUAUGGCUUUCCCCCACAUAUCUAGGACCUUCGUAUCAGGAGGAACCAUGUAUUCUGGACUGAGGACUCCGAGAAGGAAGACCACAGAGGAAAUGUUAGGAAACAUGAACAUCAAUGCCAUAUUUGAAGAGGAAUCUGAAGAAGGAAGUACCUCAGGCAUCGAUCUCUUUAAACCUGGGAUUGUUUUAAACAAUUGGACUGCAGAAGAAAUGCCUGAAGUUUUAAGAGCUUUUCCAGAGUAAUAUUCAAAACAUACUAAUUGUUCUAAGCCUGGAGAAAAUGAAAACCUUUUGUGAACUGAAAUAGGCUUAUAUUUGAACAUUGUGACUUCAAUGAAAUAUAUCUUCGCAUUUUCUUUUUGAGUAUAUAUUCUUUUAAAAUUCUUUUCAUUCUUUCGUAUGAAUAGUCAUCUUGAAUGCUUAUAUUCCAAAUCAUUCUUUCAUUCAUGGCCAUACUAAAUAAGAAUCCUUAAAUUCAUACAUUCCCUCUACAUUCUUUGGUACUUAUAAUAGGUUCCAAGAUAUCGAUGACAUGAGUGACUCUACUAUGAACUUAGAGAACCCUUUUGAACGAGAUAUGUGUUUAGAGGAAUCUCAAGAUUUUGAAGAUAAACAUAGAUAUCAACCUGUCUCCGAACUUGUUGAGGAUGGUAGAGCAGGAAGGGAAACAAAUCUUACCUCACGAAGAGACGAUAGAGACGGUGAUCCUGGAAGAAGGAAAUGUGGUGAAGAUUGGCACAUGUAUAGCUGAAGAAGUAAAACAAGACCUCAUUGAAUUGCUUCGAGAGUUCAAAGAUGUCUUCACAUGGUCGUAUCAGGACAUGCCUGGCUUAAAUACGGAUAUUGUAGUUCACCAUCUUCCUAUAAAAGAAUAUUACAAGCCGGUUCAGCAAAAAUUACGAAGAAUGAGGCCUGAUGUUGUAUUGAAAAUAAAGGAGGAGGUGCAAAAGCAAUUCGAUGCUGGAUUCCUGCAAGUGGUCAAAUAUUCUGAGUGGGUAGUCAAUAUUGUACCUGUCCCUAAGAAAGAUGGGAAGGUACGAAUGUGUGUAGAUUAUAGAGAUUUAAAUAAGGCUAGCCUAAAAGAUAACUUUCCCUUGCCGCAUAUCGACGCCUUGGUAGACAACACGGCAGGGCAUUCAUUAUUGUCUUUUAUGGAUGGUUUCUCUGGAUAUAACCAAAUUAAGAUGCACCCCGAAGAUAUGAAGAAAACUACAUUCAUAACCUUAUGGGGGACUUUUUGUUAUAAAGUGAUGCCAUUUGGGUUGAAAAAUGCAGGGGCAACGUAUCAGAGGGUCAUGGUAACACUGUUCCAUGAUAUGAUGCACAAGGAGUUAGAAGUCUAUGUUGAUGACAUGAUUGCAAAAUCUAAAACAGAAAAGGAACAUGUGCAGGUCCUUAAAAAAAUAUUUAUGAGGUUGAGAAAAUUUCAGCUAAAACUAAAUCCAACAAAAUGCACAUUUAGGGUUAGAUCAGGAAAAUUGCUUGGGUUCGUGGUCAGUGAGAGAGGAAUUGAGAUUGACUCUGACAAAGUAAGAGCAAUACAAGAAUUACCCCCACCGCGUACUCAAAAGGAGGUUCGAGGUUUUCUAGGAAGGCUGAACUAUAUCGCUCGGUUCAUCUCACAGCUAACCGAGAAAUGCGACCCUAUAUUUUACCUCCUCAAGAAACAUAAUCCAGGUGUAUGGGAUGAGGAAUGUCAAAAAACUUUUGAAAAAGUCAAACAUUACUUAUCCAACGCCCUAGUGCUGAUACCACCCUGCCCAGACAAACCGCUCAUACUAUAUUUGGUAGUAUUUGAAAAUUCCAUGGGAUGCGUGCUUGGUCAACAUGAUGAAUCAGGACGAAAGGAAAGAGCAAUCUACUAUCUCAGUAAGAAGUUCACCGAAUUCGAAGCAAGAUAUUCGCCAAUUGAGAAAUUAUGUUGUGUCUUAAUCUGGACAACUCGGAGACUGUGACAGUACAUGUUGUACGAUACGACCUGGUUAAUCUCCAAAUUGGACCCUCUGAAGUACUUGAUGGAGUCAACCGCUCUGAAUGGAAGAAUGGCCCGAUGGCAAAUUCUUCUAUCUGAAUUUGACAUAGUUUAUGUGAACCAGAAGGCGGUCAAAGGGAGCGCAAUAGCGGAAUUCCUAGCAAGUAAAGCUCUGGAAGAUUAUGAGCCAUUGAACUUCGAUUUCCCAAAUGAGGAUUUGAUGUAUGUUGCAACUGUAGAAAGAGAUUUCCAAGAAGGUGGUCCUUGGAAGUUGAGUUUUGGCGGAGCUUCAAAUGCUAUAGGCAACGGAAUUGGGGCAGUACUCGUAUCUCCUAGUGGAGAUUAUUAUCCUUUCACUAGCAAAUUGCACUUUGAUUGCACAAAUAACAUGGCUGAGUAUGAAGCUUGCGUUAUGGGCAUCCAGGCAGCGAUAGAGCGGAAAAUUAAAGUGCUAGAGGUAUACGGGGACUCUGCAUUAGUAAUUUACCAGCUCAAAAGGGAAUGGGAAACAAGAGACCCGAAGUUAGUCCACUAUCGAAAAUUGGUUCUAAAAUUGAUUGAGGAAUUCGAUAGUGUUACCUUUAGCUAUCUCCCACGAGAUGAGAACCAAAUGGCAGAUGCUUUGGCCACUUUAGCCUCCAUGUUUAAAGUGAACAAAUUAGAGGAUAUGAAGCCUAUCCAGAUCAGCAUCUAUGAGGCUGCAGCCCAUUGUUGCAACAUUGACAAUGAAGAGGAAAAGGAUGAUCACCCUUGGUACCAUGACAUAUUGCGAUAUGUGAAAAGUCAUGAGUACCCUGACCAUGCGACGGAAAAUGAUAAGAAGACAUUAAGGAGGUUAGCCAUCGACUAUAUCCUAGAUGGGGAAAUUUUGUAUAAAAAGGGAAAAGAUCAAGUACUGUUGAGAUGUGUGGAUGCUGUCGAGGCAAAGGAAAUUUUGGAAGAAGUGCAUGAAGGUAUCUGCAGAACGCAUGCCAACGGCUUCACGAUGGCCAGACAAAUUAUGAGAUUUGGGUACUAUUGGUCUACCAUGGAGGGGGAUUGCAUUAAUUAUGCCAAAAGGUGCCAUAAAUGUCAAAUUUAUAGUGACAAAAUGCACGCACCACCUUCACCCCUUCAUGUUAUGGUUUCUCCAUGGCCUUUCUCCAUGUGCGGAAUGGACGUUAUCGGGCCAAUAUCUCCGAAAGCUUCUAAUGGGUAUCGUUUUAUCUUUGUGGUUAUUGAUUAAUUCACUAAAUGGGUGGAGGCUGCUUCGUAUGCAAAUGUCACGAAGUCGGCAGUUAGCAAGUUUCUGAAAAAAGAGAUCAUAUGUCGAUACGGGAUGCCUGAAAUGAUCAUAUCUGAUAAUGCGCUGAACUUAAACAACAACUUAAUAGCGGAAGUUUGUAGUCAGUUCAAGAUCAGACACCACAAUUCAUCACUGUACCGUCCAAAAAUGAAUGGUUCCGUGGAAGCAGCUAACAAAAACAUCAAGAAAAUUGUAGGAAAAAUGACUGAAACCUACAAAGACUGGCACGAGAAAUUACCUUUUGCUCUCCUGGUAUAUCGUACUUCUGUUAGGACCUCUACUGGGGCAACACUGUUUUCUUUAGUCUAUGGGAUGGAAGCAGUUUUACCCAUAGAAGUUGAAAUUCCUUCCCUCCGAGUAUUAGCUGAACUAAAGUUGGAUGAGGCUGAAUGGAUUCAACCUCGAUAUGACCAGCUAAACUUGAUAGAAGAAAAGAGGUUAAAAGCUAUUCGUCAUGGUCAGAUGUAUCAGAAACGAAUGAUGUGAGCCUAUAACAAAAAAGUUCGCCCCAGAGAAUUUUAUGAGGGGGACCUGGUUUUGAAAAAGAUUCUUCCUCUACAAAAGGAUUUUAGAGGAAAAUGGAUGCCAAAUUGGGAAGGUCCUUAUGUGGUAAAAAAGGCCUUUUCAGGAGGAGUUUUAAUCCUGAGCGAGAUGGAUGGUAAAAGCCUACCAAAUCCUGUAAAUUCAGACUCAGUCAAGAAAUAUUUCACUUAAAAAAAAGGGCAUUUAAAAAAAAGGGAGAGGCCAAGGUGAAAACCCGUAAAGGGCGCCUUGAGACCAAAGGGGAUUUGAGUUGAAAACCUGAAAAAGGCGGCUCAAAUUUUGAAGAAACAUGAGGUGAACGGAACAGCUCAAAUUUUGAUCAGGGUCUGAGGCAUGUGGUGGUCUUACUAUACCUGAAUCACAAGAAGAAAUAGGUGACAUCUUGGGGUAUCGACAGGAUACUAUAAAUUCUCUAAACACAUAUUAAAUGGUCUUUAGAAAACUUAUACAGGGAAGCUCGUGCAGCGAUAUCUGGGGCACCUGUUGUCAUCUUUUAUUUUGAAUCUUGGCAAAUUUGUUGUCUUGAUUAAUGUAUUCAUUUCAAGCUUUGCUCCCCAAUAAAAUUUCAUUUUGUCUAUUAUCUUAUUUCAUUUUUAUUUUAGCAAAAUUUGCUAUCUUGAUUAACCCAUUCGUUUCGAGAUUUGUUCUCAAUAACAUUUGUUUGUUCGUUGUGAUAAUCUUUUUCGAAAAAAAAUAUUUAGAAUAACUAUUAAUGAACUGAAUGUUCAAGCAAAUGGAGUUUUGCAUAUUACUCUAGAAAUUUCUAAAUAAUGAAGGAACCUGAAACAGGACUGUUGUUUAGAGCACACCAAAUUCAAAGUGCCUACAAGGGAAAAGUCUAAGUCAGGACUAUCCUUUCAAACUUUGUUGUCCAAACAAUGAUUGAACAAAAUGAGGAGAUGUCAUGCUGGUGACAAGGCUUCAAUGAUUACCGAAUGAUAAGAAGAGGUUCUUCGGAAAAGGAAAUUUUGCAAUUAUGCAUAAACUUUUGGUACGACGCCCUAGAAAUGGUGUAAGUAGCCAAGGAAAUUCAGAUCCUGUAACUCCUAAUUUACAGGAGGAGGAAGAUGGUUUUCAAUUUUAUGUCCCAAAUUACAAUGGGCUUAACCUUGAAAAUCACAAUGAGUUGAACUUUGAAGAAUACAGUGGGGGCAAUCCGACCAAGUAAGAGAUAAACAUUACCAACCGGACAAGAUAGCAUUCGGGCGCGUUGGCAAUAAGGACUUAUUGAGCAAGGAGCAAUAACAACUCAAUCAUUGAAAGAUCAUUUUGCAUUCAUGCAUAUGCAUUUAGCCAGGGUAUUUUGAUUCAUUUUUAUCAUAAUCACUAGGCAUAAAUAGGUUCAUAUAGGUCAUGUUCCCCAAAAAACAGAUCAAUGAAGAUGGCAGGUCUUGCUUUCCUGAGUUGACAGAAGCAGAUCGAAGUAACCAUAGAUUGCAAUUUAAAAGAUCGAAGCCACAACGGCGAAUCUUACUUCCAGGCGAUGCAGCGGAACAGAUUGAAGCUACAACGGCGAGUCUCACUUCCCCAUUGCAAUUUAAAAGAUCGAAGCCACAACGGCGAAUCUUAUUUCCAGGCGAUGCAGCGGAACAGAUUGAAGCUACAACGGCGAGUCUCACUUCCCCAUUGCAAUUUAAAAGAUCGAAGCCACAACGGCGAAUCUUACUUUCAGGCGAUGCAGCGGAACAGAUUGAAGUUACAACGGCGAGUCUCACUUCCCCAUUGCAAUUUAAAAGAUCGAAGCCACAACGGUGAAUCUUACUUCCAGGCGAUGCAGCGGAACAGAUUGAAGCUACAACGGUGAGUUUCACUUUCCCAUUGCAAUAGAUCGAAGCCACAACGGCGAAUCUUACUUCCAGGCGAUGCAGCGAAACAGAUUGAAGCUACAACGGCGAGUCUCACUUCCUCAUUGCAAUUUAAAAGAUCGAAGCCACAACGGUGAAUCUUACUUCCAGGCGAUGCAGCGGAACAGAUUGAAGCUACAACGGCGAGUCUCACUUCCCCAUUGCAAUUUAAAAGAUCGAAGCCACAACGUCGAAUCUUAUUUCCAGGCGAUGCAGCGGAACAGAUUGAAGCUACAACGGCGAGUCUCACUUCCCCAUUGCAAUUUAAAAGAUCGAAGCCACAACGGCGAAUCUUACUUUCAGACGAUGCAGCAGAACAGAUUGAAGCUACAACGGCGAGUCUCACUUCCCCACUGCAAUAGAUCGAAGCCACAACGGCGAAUCUUACUUCCAGGCGAUGCAGCAGAAUAUAUUGAAGCUACAACAGCGAGUCUCACUUCCCCGACAUUGCAAUUAAAAGAUUGAAGCCAUAACGACGAAUCUCAUUUCCUUGCGGUGUAGUGGAACAGAUUGAAGCUACGAUGGCGAAUCUCGCUUCCCCAAUAUUGCAGUCAAAUAGAUUGAAGCUACAACAGCGAAUCUCACAUCAUUGGCGAUACAGUGGAACAGAUUGAAGCUACAAUGGCGAACCUUGUUUUGCCAGCAUUGCAGCUAGAAGAUUGAAGCUGCAACGGCGAAUCUUAUUUCCUCAACGGGACCGGGUAAAAAUUGGUCUUUCUUAGUCUUUGCUCUGUUAUCGUUACAUGACAACAAGCAAAGAGGGGCAGCUGUACAAGCCCAAUUUUUAAAAACCCGGGCCCAAUUACAAUACAAAACCCGAAUAGCCCAACAACCCAAAUUUAGCCCCUAACAGACCUAACCCAACAAAACCAAGCCCAAAUUUACCCAUUUACACCCAAACCCGAAGCCCAAUAGCCAGGCCCAAUUUCCCUAAAAAAUAUCUAACUAGGGUUUCAUUUUCUGAAACCCUAGAUGCCGCCAGCUACCCACCCUGCCUCU
This 15586-nucleotide long non-coding RNA is filed under the name Gossypium barbadense (sea-island cotton). Its description in RNAcentral is "long non-coding RNA (GBAR_LNC020828)". The record is from RNAcentral. Lineage: Eukaryota; Viridiplantae; Streptophyta; Magnoliopsida; Malvales; Malvaceae.